AAUGAGAUGGCUGAAUUAGGCAGUAAACUGUAAAUUUACUUAUGAAUUAAAUUCUCUCAUU
This 61-nucleotide transfer RNA is filed under the name Henosepilachna pusillanima. RNAcentral describes it as "tRNA-Tyr". The record is from RNAcentral. Lineage: Eukaryota; Metazoa; Arthropoda; Insecta; Coleoptera; Coccinellidae.